UGAGAGUUGAAAGAAAGGAAUCUGGAGA
RNAcentral lists this non-coding RNA (28 nucleotides) under Rattus norvegicus (Norway rat). Lineage: Eukaryota; Metazoa; Chordata; Mammalia; Rodentia; Muridae. The record is from RNAcentral.